This is a long non-coding RNA of Anas platyrhynchos (mallard), 4403 nucleotides long. RefSeq lists it as uncharacterized. Lineage: Eukaryota; Metazoa; Chordata; Aves; Anseriformes; Anatidae. The record is from RefSeq and is a predicted model, not a curated record.
UAUUAAUAAAAUUCCUUUCUAGAUUGCAAAAUAAUAACAUGCACCUGACUUUAGGAACAUGUGUAGUUCCAUCCGUGCUUGCAUGUCACAAGCUUGACGCUGCAUUGAACAUUUGCUUUCCUCUGGAAGAUGAACAAGACGAAAAGCAAACAAACAAAAGUUAUGCCUGGGUUAGAAUUAAAAACACAGCGGCUGUGUGGUUAAUUUGCAGGAAGCAUUCUUCAGGAACAAAAACACCCAACACGUGAUGCCUGAAACGCGAACAGCAGUCGCACCUGAUGCUUUUUGCUCAGGUGUAGAUGUGUCUAACAUCCUCGGGGAGGCUCAUCACAGGAAUAUCCCAUGACAUGACCAUACUCCUGUAUUGAAUCAGCACUAAAAUGGGCUCUGACACCAAGGACACGCCGCUUCCCACCCCUCACACACGCCUUGGGGCCGCAGCAGGCCCAAGCCCCUCAGGGUAGCUCAGAGUAAGGUGAGGGUCCAGGGACCGGCCCUUGGCUGCUCCCCAGGGAUUGAGAAAGGGGUUGGGAACACCCCAAAACAGACCCUGGCACCACGGGGAGAGCCACCCUGCCAUCUCCUUAGGGCCUGGCAAUGCCGGAGGGGGGAAAAGGGACACCCCCCCGCUCAGUGCCUGACAGGAGAGGGACCGCCAUCUCCACAGAGCCUGCAAACACCGUGGGAGGGCCGGGACCCGAAGAAGGGACUUUCCCCUUCGCUCAGCGCCUGAGGGGAGAGGCGCUGCCAUCUCCUCAGCGCCGGGAAACGCCGCGACCGCUGGGCUUUGGGACUAGAGGGGGAACAUAAACCCUACAGGAGCCUUCCCCCUGCCCCGGGGCCUGAUGGAAAGGACAGACUGGGAGGGAAAAAACAGGGGGGAAGAGCCCGGGGCUGCCCGUGCUGAGGCGCGGGCAUGGCGCCUCCAUCCCCCGCUCUCCUCAGGGACGGCGCCGCCCCGAGCGGCCGGCGAGGCGGGGAAGGAGCCAGGGCCGGGGGGGGGGGGGGGGAGAUGGGGCAGCGGCCCCGGCUACCGCGGCAACAGGCGGCCACCGCCGGCCCGGGGCCGCUCCCCUCAGCGCGGUGGGCGGCCAAAGGGCGACCCCCGCAGCGCUCCUCGCUCCUACCCAGCCACCCGCACCCCCCUCACUCACCCCCGGGCGCGUUUCUCCCCGGGAAAUGGCCUCCACAGCUCGCCCAGAAAUUUUGAAAGCAAAACUUGGACCGGUUGUGAUGUUUGAGAUAUUCUCACAGACUGCAUGUGAUCGCUGCAUACAGUGAAAGAGGAGGUGUUAGGACUAAAUCAUGACUUUCAUGCAGCAGGAGCUGCAGGUUUUGGUUACCUGAUAUGAAGCACAGCCUCAGAAGUUCAUCAGCAAUGCACGAUAUUUGAGCAAGAUGCCAUACAGGACAGAUUCAGAAUCUCAGGCAAGUCUGAAACUACAGAAACGGAACAGAGAACAAGCUGAAAGAAACAAAAACUCCACACAAGGGAAAAACAAAGCAAGGAAAUCUGAAGUUCCAUCUUUGCUACAGGUUGUUAUGACACGCUAUGGCCAUCAAGCAUACCAGUCAUCACACAGGUAACUAUCUACAUUGUGGUCAUACAGAGCUGCCAAUGCAAAAGAUUCCAUUUUACAGCACCUGCCUUAAAAAUCCAAAAGAAAAAGAAUAAAAAGCCACAAGAACUGAAUUAAGAAAAAAUAGUUCAAUUAACAACUACAUUUUUCAGCUGUUCCUACACCCACUGCAUCUUUCAGUUUCUUAGAGGGGUCAGAUUCUUGUUCAUGACAAAGCUGUACUGUGCUUCCACAGCAGAAUGAAGAAGAAAUAAAAUUCAUUUAAACCCCUUAAUGCUCAGUAAAACAAGGAACUGUUGUACAUUACAUGAUGCAAAAGUACUUGUGUAAUGGCUUGUAGAUUCACAGAAGUCCAAGGGACCACAGUAAUUCAGCAGUCAUGCAGAGCUCCCCAAAUUAUGUUAUUCACUCAAUAGUUGUUCACCGUCUUGCAGACCAGAACUGCAGUUCAUAAUAGCAGCAUCAUGGGAUGAGAUCUCACUGAUCAUCAAAAGAAGUUUGUUUUUUUCUGCUUGAACUUAUUUUUAGUGUAAGACAUCCGAUAACUCAGAUAUUCUACUGUCUGUGUGGUUUUAAUGAAUUUUCAGUCAUCCAUAGCCAUCUGUUGGAACAACACUCAUCGAAAUUUAAUUAUUUUGAAUAUUCUACCCUAUACAAUUGCUCAUCCAUAAUACAAAACUUGGAAUAAGACUGAACUGACAUUAAGGAAAACACUAUGGUCACACAUGGACUGGUUCCUUUAUAAAACUAGUUUAAAAAAAAUUAAAAAAAUUAAAUCCAAAGUUCUUCAACAGUAUAGCACACACCAAAAACUGUUCUUGACUUUUCCAGGUGACAAAGACCAAUAAUUAUAUCAUACUAAGCUGUGUUAAUAUUUGCCUUUCUCUAAAGGAAAAGCAAGCAUUUUUUUGUUUGAGUGUAACUGAAAACAAGGAGGGGGCUGUUGAACUCGGAAGUGCAUUAAUGCAAGUUUUGUGCAAGUCUUCCCAGCCACCAGUUUAUAACAUUUCACAGUGUAGAAAUUACAGAAAAAUAGAUUCCUUAGUGAUUCAAAAUAAGGUAGGGAAAUUCUCUGGUCUCAGAGAGGUCUUCACCUUAUAGAAAUCUAGGGAAAUCUUAUACCAGUGCUAGAAAAUGCACAAAGGAGCCCAAUGAGUAAAAGUUAAUGCCAUCUCAAAAAUUGAUGGCCAUAAACGGGUUGAGUUGCCAACUGAAUUGCUUCUCCCUCAGCCAAAACUUCCACUUGCUUAAUCCACGUGUAGGAGGAUCAGCUACAACCUACCACAUCUGAUGACUGUAUCUCACCAGGUACCCAAUUUCCUAAGAACAUCAUAAGAACAGAGUCUGCUGCUGCAAUUGUCGUGCUAUUUCCCAGAUAACUUUAAUAUGCUGAGAUCAGGAUAUCUGUGCUUAUUGCUGUUCAUAGUCUGUUUUCCAUUUGCUGUCAUCUCCAUAAGGAUAUUCUCAGAGUUAAAAUGUAUUAAACAUGAAAAUGUAGUGCUGCAUCUCUCAUCAGAGUAUGAUAUUUCUCAAAACAGACAUGGCUCAUCACAAAGGUUAAUCUGUUUUCCAAAACACCAUUUGGUAGUUCCAUUGAACUCUUGUCUUAAUCCAAAAUACCCCAAAAGUUCUGUGAUACACUUUAAGCAUUAGAAAAACAGUCAAAGCAUAUUAACACAGGGAGGUGGUUUUUUGGAGGUGUUUUUUUGUUGUUGGGUGGGUUUUGUUUGUUUGUUGGCUUGUUUUUUAAUAAAGGAAAUCAACAUUUUAUUUAUUGAUUUACCAGCUAGGAAUCCAGAGAAUAAAAGUCAAGAACUGCUAAAUUUUCUAGUCAGGUUCCCAGGAGAGCAAAACUAGCCAUGCCCAGCUGGAACUCAGGCACUGAGUACAGUUAGAUUUCUCACUCAUGCCUGAGCACUCUCAAGAGCUACAGACAUUACAUAUUCCCCGUAGCCUACACGUCUGGGUAAAGGAGUUUCAAGGAUGAAACUUCAAUGAGGCAGAAAAAGUUGGAGGAAAUCUUGGUUCCAGUCUGCUUCACUAAGAGCCGUUCUGAACUUAGAUCCCUGUGAUACUUUGCCAGUCCCCAACAGCAAGAUCACAACUGCAUGGACUUCCUCCUUACCAGUAUUUGUUCACACUCAUGCAAAAUAAAUGCUGUAGGUGAGAAAGCCUCAGGAACCUUCCCACUGGAGACAACAGUUUAGUAGCUAGAGCAUUCAUGUGAAGGGGAAACAAAUCCAGUUCUCCUACAGCAUAAGUGAACUUUCUAAAUACUAGUAAAAAGAUGGGAUGUUGCUUCCAUGCUUCCUGUGUUAUAGCAGAAAAUAUGGAUGCAGUCCCCAGAGAGAGUGUGAGUCACAGAGUUUCAGAUAUGGAAAAAAAUCUGUCUUCUACAAUGUGAAAUUAAGUCUAUAGAGUAAACAUUCUCUUAUGUGGUUGGGUUUGUUCUCAAAUCAGGUCAUUACAUUUAGGUCAGAGUCUUUCCCUAACAUGCACAGUACUGGCAAAUGCAGCGGAUAUUACUUUGACUUGGCUGCAUUCAGGCUUUCCUAUUCUACAAAGCAAAGUGAUCUUCCAUGAACUUGGCAAACAUUAAAACAUGCAAUGGGCGACUGUUUCGGCUGUGUGCACACCUCUCCCAUACACUUUUUCUUUUAAGUGACACUGCUUUUGCAAUAGUUAUAUUCAGUUUUCGAUACAUAUUUCUGAUAGUAAUUUGAAUAUGCUGCUCAAUUACCAACCUCACAUCUAUUCUGGUUGUUAUACUGCCAUCAUCAGUGUACUACAUGAACAAAAUAAUGAACAAUUAUUAUUUGACUC